ACUCAAAUGAAUUGACGGGGGCCCGCACAAGCAGCGGAGCGUGCGGUUUAAUUCGUCGCAACGCGAAGAACCUUACCAGGGCUUGAAAUGUUAGUGGUACCGAUCCGAAAGGUGAGGGACCCUUCGGGGAGCUAGCACAGGUGCUGCAUGGCUGUUGUCAGCUCGUGCCGUGAGGUGUUGGGUUAAGUCCCGCAACGAGCGCAACCCCUGUCGCCAGUUGUAUUCUCUGGCGAGACUGCCCCGUAAAGCGGGGAGGAAGGCGGGGAUGACUUCAAGUCAGCACGGCCCUUACGUCCUGGGCUACUCGCACGCUACAAUGGCCGGCACAAUAGGUUGCCAAGGAGCGAUCCGGAGCUAAUCCCCAAAGCCGGCCUCAGUUCAGAUUGCAGGCUGAAACCCGCCUGCAUGAAGGCGGAGUUGCUAGUAACCGCCGGUCAGCACACGGCGGUGAAUACGUUCCCGGGCCUUGUACACACCGCCCGU
Molecule: ribosomal RNA, 483 nt
Filed under: uncultured bacterium
Lineage: Bacteria
Description: partial 16S ribosomal RNA
Rfam family: Bacterial small subunit ribosomal RNA
Source: RNAcentral